This is a long non-coding RNA of Astatotilapia calliptera (eastern happy), 1095 nucleotides long. The record is from Ensembl. NCBI's taxonomy places the organism in Eukaryota, Metazoa, Chordata, Actinopteri, Cichliformes, Cichlidae.
GGAUGAGUUCUACAGGAUCACCCUGGUACACCUUGAACCCAAAUUCAUGUCCAUGCUGGAUGAGUACACUCCCAAACUGUUGGCCCUUUUCCAUUCCAAGGGGGGAGCCAUGGGAUUGAAGUUGCAGGCUAUCAUAGCCAAGUCACCAAGCAAUCCUAGCAAUGACAUAACCAGAAAUCUGGUUAUUCGGUGCUUGAUGGUGUACCUUGGGGAGUCCAUUGAUCAACUGAUCAAAGAGUACAGUGAUGCUGAUGAGGAUGGUGUGUCACAAGAUCUUUCUGAACAGAGGAUGAAAAUCUACAAAAUCAAGGCUGUUGGAUCUGAGGAGGAUGACAUUGGCAUUGUGCUGGAGGGUGUGAGAGUUAUGCCUGCUCUGGGCAAUUUUCCAAGAGCAUGCGCAAUGCUGGUUGAAUUGACAUAUGCAGUCAAUCUUGCCUAUCCCAAAGAGCUAAAAUACACCUUGGAAGUAUUCCAGAAAACUUUCCUUGAACUGGAUUGUGCUAAGCUCUCACCAAAAGUGAACAGCCUCAAGAACAAGUUAUUGGCUUAAGUGAGGACUCUGAAAGAAUGAAAGGGAAAUAAGCUCACUGAAAACCUUUGGUUUGUCUUUGUUAGAUGCAGCUAUCUUUUCAGUUUUCAAAAUAAUUUCAACUUAUUCAUGUCUUACCCAAAUGACCUGCAAUGUGUCAGGCUGUAUUUGUGCUCUUCAUUUUAAUGUUUGUUUUUUAUUACCUACAAGUUUCUUAGGAAUAUUCUGUUUGAAAGGCAACAAAUUGGAGGAAUCACUAGUGAAGCUUUUCUUUGUUUAUAGUGUAUGUUACUAUAAAACAUUAGUUUAAAACAACUUUAAAAUUUAACAGAAGUGCAGUCCUGUAGCUGUAGAAAUGUUACUUCCUCUUACAUGUGUCUUAGAUUUUCUCAGGUUAAACAUCCAAAUUGGGAUAAAAGGUUGAUUUACAUUAUUGAUAUUCCAUGUACAUGAGUUAAAAAACCUUUGUUCUACAGUUAUAUUGAGUGAUUCAAUUUAACAAAAGAUUGACUAACUAAAGUUUUUGUUAGUCAAUCAUAAAUAAGUAACAGAGAUAAAGGAAACGG